CACAAUAUCAAGUGGGCAAAGAGGAAGUAUCAACCUUCCUAAGUAAAUCAUCUUUAAAUCCUUUUGAUCUAUUGAAAGAUCAGAUUAAAUCUGAGCAUCCCCAUAUAUCGGAAUAUGAGCUUAUGAAGAAAUGUAUGUUCUUCUUCAAGGACCAGUUCUCAUCAAAUUUCUGUAAAGAUGAUUCUUCUAUGGGAUCAGGGUCUAAUAAUGACACCACAGAUGAAUGUAUAUUAGCAGGCGAAU
This 243-nucleotide long non-coding RNA is filed under the name Actinidia chinensis (golden kiwifruit). Its description in RNAcentral is "long non-coding RNA (ACHI_LNC009719)". The record is from RNAcentral. Lineage: Eukaryota; Viridiplantae; Streptophyta; Magnoliopsida; Ericales; Actinidiaceae.